This 629-nucleotide ribosomal RNA is filed under the name Pseudomonas oryzihabitans. Its description in RNAcentral is "bacterial SSU rRNA". Lineage: Bacteria; Pseudomonadati; Pseudomonadota; Gammaproteobacteria; Pseudomonadales; Pseudomonadaceae. The record is from RNAcentral.
AGUCGAGCGGGAUGGAGAGGAGCUUGCUCCUCGAUUCAGCGGCGGACGGGUGAGUAAUGCCUAGGAAUCUGCCUAGUAGUGGGGGACAACGUUUCGAAAGGAACGCUAAUACCGCAUACGUCCUACGGGAGAAAGUGGGGGAUCUUCGGACCUCACGCUAUUAGAUGAGCCUAGGUCGGAUUAGCUAGUUGGUAGGGUAAAGGCCUACCAAGGCGACGAUCCGUAACUGGUCUGAGAGGAUGAUCAGUCACACUGGAACUGAGACACGGUCCAGACUCCUACGGGAGGCAGCAGUGGGGAAUAUUGGACAAUGGGCGAAAGCCUGAUCCAGCCAUGCCGCGUGUGUGAAGAAGGCCUUCGGGUCGUAAAGCACUUUAAGUUGGGAGGAAGGGCUCAUAGCGAAUACCUGUGAGYUUUGACGUUACCAACAGAAUAAGCACCGGCUAACUUCGUGCCAGCAGCCGCGGUAAUACGAAAGGGUGCAAGCGUUAAUCGGAUUACUGGGCGUAAGCGCGCGUAGUGCUGAUAAGUUGGAUGUGAAUCCCGGGCUCAACUGGACUGCAUCAACUGCUGGCUAGAUGCGUAAGUAUGAUCAGUUACGUGAAUGCUAGAUUGGAGAACCCCAUUGC